This 466-nucleotide ribosomal RNA is filed under the name uncultured Klebsiella sp. RNAcentral describes it as "bacterial SSU rRNA". It matches the Rfam family "Bacterial small subunit ribosomal RNA", at positions 338 to 795 of the family's 1533-position model. The record is from RNAcentral. Lineage: Bacteria; Pseudomonadati; Pseudomonadota; Gammaproteobacteria; Enterobacterales; Enterobacteriaceae.
CCUACGGGUGGCAGCAGUGGGGAAUAUUGCACAAUGGGCGCAAGCCUGAUGCAGCCAUGCCGCGUGUGUGAAGAAGGCCUUCGGGUUGUAAAGCACUUUCAGCGGGGAGGAAGGCGUUAAGGUUAAUAACCUUGGCGAUUGACGUUACCCGCAGAAGGAGCACCGGCUAACUCCGUGCCAGCAGCCGCGGUAAUACGGGGGGUGCAAGCGUUAAUCGGAAUUACUGGGCGUAAAGCGCACGCAGGCGGUCUGUCAAGUCGGAUGGUGAAAUCCCCGGGCUCAACCUGGGAACUGCAUUCGAAACUGGCAGGCUAGAGUCUUGUAGAGGGGGGUAGAAUUCCAGGUGUAGCGGUGAAAUGCGUAGAGAUCUGGAGGAAUACCGGUGGCGAAGGCGGCCCCCUGGACAAAGACUGACGCUCAGGUGCGAAAGCGUGGGGAGCAAACAGGAUUAGAUACCCGUGUAGUC